This 78-nucleotide non-coding RNA is filed under the name Proteobacteria bacterium CG1_02_64_396. Lineage: Bacteria; Pseudomonadati; Pseudomonadota. The record is from RNAcentral.
ACGCGAAACCCCCUCCGCCUGCCCAGGCGGGGGGUGGUCAUCCGGCGGUGGUGCGCCGGGUCUGACGAGCAGCCGAAU